This 505-nucleotide ribosomal RNA is filed under the name uncultured bacterium. RNAcentral's name for it is "bacterial SSU rRNA". It matches the Rfam family "Bacterial small subunit ribosomal RNA", at positions 8 to 507 of the family's 1533-position model. The record is from RNAcentral.
AGAGUUUGAUCAUGGCUCAGAUUGAACGCUGGCGGCAUGCUUUACACAUGCAAGUCGAACGGCAGCGCGGGGGCAACCCUGGCGGCGAGUGGCGAACGGGUGAGUAAUGCAUCGGAACGUAUCCUGUAAUGGGGGAUAACGUAGCGAAAGUUACGCUAAUACCGCAUACGCUCGAGAGAGGAAAGUGGGGGAUCGCAAGACCUCACGUUAUAGGAGCGGCCGAUGUCCGAUUAGCUAGUUGGUGGGGUAAAGGCCUACCAAGGCGACGAUCGGUAGCUGGUCUGAGAGGAUGAUCAGCCACACUGGGACUGAGACACGGCCCAGACUCCUACGGGAGGCAGCAGUGGGGAAUUUUGGACAAUGGGCGAAAGCCUGAUCCAGCCAUGCCGCGUGCGGGAAGAAGGCCUUCGGGUUGUAAACCGCUUUAGUCCGGGAAAAAGGGGUGCGAGGAUAAUACCCUUGUGCUUUGAUGGUACUGGAAGAAUAAGCACCGGCUAACUACGUG